ACUGAUCCCGGAUUGUUUCCACCUCUUCCCUUCACCCUCAUGUGCUUAUAGUCUGCGUCUCCCCUUUGUCUUGUGCCAAAGUGUUUCGUCCUUGUCCGUGCACCAAAGCCCUUUUUCACAGUCAUUGUCAUUUUUUGCCUAUGAGGUUUGCUACGCCACAGUCCACAAAGCAGCACACAAGCUCCACCAGCAUCACUCAGUGAUCUUCAAUCACAGGUCACAGAACUGUGGGGGAAAAGGGACACAGAAGUGGUCGUUUCUGUGGUGCCCUCUCAAUUAGGGAACAACUUUGUUAUCCACCACAGUGAGUUCAACACUCUCACCAGUGGCUUGUAGGCGAGGUCAUCGAGUCCCUACUUCACCACACUGCCAGGAAACUGAAUUUGGGAAGCACCAUUUACGUUCUGAGCCAUUAUGUGGCUGGUGUGAUCCUCUUUGGUAAGAGGGAAGAAGUUAGGAGACAGACUAUGUCAAAGGAACACACUCUUGCUUGCACGCUCCAGAUUCUGGGAGAUUGGAUCUCAUUUACGGGCGUCAAGGAGCCGCUAUCAAUAUGUGGGAGAGUUUGGAUGUCUGACUUUGUAACCGACUUUGACAACUAUAAGGCCAUUGUGUCCUUUAUUAACAUUGGCAAUGUACACUGGAAGUUUCUGUGCUGCAGAUAGUACGGUCUAUGUUGUUGAUCCCGCACGCAGUGCUACCGAGCAGGCAGACUCAGACAACGCAGCAAACAGAUUGCGUAAGUACUUCAACAUGAGGAGGAUCUGUCUGGGGAAAAACUGACUGGGUCAAUGUUAAGUGGAAAGGCGGUGUUCUGGAACACCCAUUUCAGAGAGAUGGGAGUAGCUGCGGUGUAAUUGUCAUCAAAAUGGCAAAGGCAGUCAUGGAGGCUUUUCCAAAGAAAGCAGAAAUGUCAUUUGGGACAGCUCCAAGAUUGAUGGCAGAUGACAGAAAACACUUGGCUCUCGAGCUCCUGGAAGCCUCAGAUUCAGUGUGACACCUGUUGCAGGUGGUUCCAUGUUGAGUGCAUCGACAUGGACUCGGAAACACUUCAGCAGGCAGAGAGUAGUGAAUGGAAUUGUGUUAUUUGUGAAAAAUUAAUAAACAACUUCAACAAUGAUCUCAUACUAUAUCAACAGUCUAUAUUCAUCCUGCUCCCACAUCCACAUUUUACUAGAGAAUUAUGUUAUUUGUUCCCCAAAUGUGGAGCUGAGACAUGGAGGGUUUGUAAUGAUGUUUUCAGUUUUCAACUGAGUUUAGUUUUUCCUCUGUGUUUGGAGUUUAAACCUCUUAAUUUGUUCAGCUUCAUUCUUAUUUUGAACAAAUAAACAAAACUGAUAUUUAAAAAAAAAAAAAAGAAUCUCCCUUUACAAAGCAAAAAUGUGAACUUUGAGGCUGAAUUUCUAAACAGUCAGGGUGGUCCUGAGAUCAAGUGUACAACCCUUUGUCAGAAAUUAUGGAUCAAAGAGAUUUUACAGUAGAGUAAAUAUUGCGCAUAAUGCCUUUUCAACUAAAGAAAAGGAACUUUGAGGCUGAAUUGCUCAAAAAUUAUAAAGUAAAUAUGCUUGAUACUGAGUGAGUGAACAGUCAGGAUGGUCCUGAGUUAAAUUGUAUCAACCUUUGUCAGAAAUUAAGGAUCAAAGAGAAUUUACAGUAGAGUAAAUAUUGCACAUAAUGCCUUUUUCAUUUCAAAAUAAUGAAAUUUGAGGCUGAAUUUCUCAAAAAUGAUAAAGUAAAUAAGCUUCAUACUGAGUGAGUGAACAGUCAGGAUGGUCCUGAGUUAAAUUGUAUCAACCUUUGUCAAAAAUUAUGGAUCAAAGACAUUUUACAGUAGAGUAAAUAUUGCACAUAAUGCCUUUUUCAAUUCAAAAUAAUGAACUUUGAGGCUGAAUUUCUCAAAAAUGAUACAGUAAAUAUGCUUGAUACUGAGUGAGUGAGCAGUCAGGAUGGUCCUGAGGACAACUGUAUCAGCCAUUGUCAGAAAUUAUGGAUCAAAGACAUUUUACAGUAUAGUAAAUAUUGCACAUAAUGCCUUUUUCAACAAAAAAAAAGCAACUUUGAGGCUGAAUUUCUCAAAAAUGAUACAGUAAAUAUGCUUGAUACUGAGUGAGUGAACAGUCGGGAUGGUCCUGAGUUAAAUUGUAUCAACCUUUGUCAGAAAUUAUGGAUCAAAAAGAUUUUACAGUAGAGUAAAUACUGCACGUAAUGCCUUUUUCAAUUCAAAAUAAUGAACUUUGAGGCUGAAUUUCUCAAAAAUGAUACAGUAAAUAAGCUUCAUACUGAGUGAGUGAACAGUCAGGAUGGUCCUGAGUUAAAUUGUAUCAACCUUUGUCAGAAAUUAUGGAUCAAAGAGAAUUUACAGUAGAGUAAAUAUUGCACAUAAUGCCCUUUUCAAUUCAAAAUAAUGAACUUUGAGGCUGAAUUUCUCAAAAAUGAUAAAGUAAAUAAGCUUCAUACUGAGUGAGUGAACAGUCAGGAUGGUCCUGAGUUAAAUUGUAUCAACCUUUGUCAGAAAUUAUGGAUCAAAGACAUUUUACAGUAGAGUAAAUAUUGCACAUAAUGCCUUUUUCAAUUCAAAAUAAUGAACUUUGAGGCUGAAUUUCUCAAAAAUGAUACAGUAAAUAAGCUUUAUACUGAGUGAGUGAACAGUCAGGAUGGUCCUGAGUUAAAUUGUAUCAACCUUUGUCAGAAAUUAUGGAUCAAAGAGAAUUUACAGUAGAGUAAAUAUUGCACAUAAUGCCUUUUUCAAUUCAAAAUAAUGAAAUUUGAGGCUGAAUUUCUCAAAAAUGAUACAUUAAAUAAGCUUCAUACUGAGUGAGUGAACAGUCAGGAUGGUCCUGAGUUAAAUUGUAUCAACCUUUGUCAGAAAUUAUGGAUCAAAGACAUUUUACAGUAGAGUAAAUAUAUCACAUGAGGAGAGCCCAGUGUGUAUUUUAUGUCUGAAAACUCUAUGAGACCCAACAAAAUAAGAAGAUUCUUAGAAACAUUACACCCCAGUCACAUGCAUGUGUUCUUUUUGGUUGAGCUUUAUCAUCUUAGUAGCAAAGUGAUUAUAAUUAAAUUUAUUUUUUCUCUAUUAUUGAAAAAACUGAUGGAGGAAUGUAGUGAUAAAUGUCACCUAGUGUACUUCAAUUAAGAUAAAUUUAAGCAAAAUUAUGGCACUAUUUUUUGAAAAAGGGACAAAUGUCACAAAACAUUUUUGUACAACAGAGAUUCCUGAAAGUAAUGUGGAUUUAAUGUUCAUCUGUAUGUUAUGUAAAUACACAUGUUAAACCUG
Molecule: long non-coding RNA, 3277 nt
Organism: Pleuronectes platessa (European plaice)
Lineage: Eukaryota; Metazoa; Chordata; Actinopteri; Pleuronectiformes; Pleuronectidae
Exons: 10
Source: RefSeq, a predicted model, not a curated record